Molecule: ribosomal RNA, 459 nt
Filed under: uncultured bacterium
Lineage: Bacteria
Description: partial 16S ribosomal RNA
Rfam family: Bacterial small subunit ribosomal RNA
Source: RNAcentral
CCUACGGGAGACAGCAGUGAGGAAUAUUGGUCAAUGGCCGGAAGGCUGAACCAGCCAAGCCGCGUGAAGGACGAAGGUGCCAAGCAUUGUAAACUUCUUUUGUCAGGGGACAAAAUCAGGCGCGAGAGCCUGACCGAGGGUACUUGAAGAAAAAGCAUCGGCUAACUCAGUGCCAUCCGCCGCGGUAAUACGGAGGAUGCGAGCGUUAUCCGGAUUUAUGGGGUUAAAAGGGUGCGUCGGCGGACGGUUAUGUCAGCGGUAAAAUCCCGGGGCUCAACCCCGGCGAGCCGUUGAAACUGGCUGGCUUGAGAUGUCGAGAGGUAUGCGGAAUGCGCAGUGUAGCGGUGAAAUGCGUAGAGAUUGCGCAGAACUCCGAUUGCGAAGGCGGCAUACCGGCGGCGAUCUGACGCUGAGGCACGAAAGCGUGGGUAUCGAACAGGAUUAGAUACCCUUGUAGUC